Molecule: ribosomal RNA, 608 nt
Filed under: Salmonella enterica subsp. enterica serovar Anatum
Lineage: Bacteria; Pseudomonadati; Pseudomonadota; Gammaproteobacteria; Enterobacterales; Enterobacteriaceae
Also listed under: 1 other name
Description: bacterial LSU rRNA
Rfam family: Bacterial large subunit ribosomal RNA
Source: RNAcentral
CCCAGACAGCCAGGAUGUUGGCUUAGAAGCAGCCAUCAUUUAAAGAAAGCGUAAUAGCUCACUGGUCGAGUCGGCCUGCGCGGAAGAUGUAACGGGGCUAAACCAUGCACCGAAGCUGCGGCAGCGACACUCAGGUGUUGUUGGGUAGGGGAGCGUUCUGUAAGCCUGUGAAGGUGGCCUGUGAGGGUUGCUGGAGGUAUCAGAAGUGCGAAUGCUGACAUAAGUAACGAUAAAGCGGGUGAAAAGCCCGCUCGCCGGAAGACCAAGGGUUCCUGUCCAACGUUAAUCGGGGCAGGGUGAGUCGACCCCUAAGGCGAGGCCGAAAGGCGUAGUCGAUGGGAAACGGGUUAAUAUUCCCGUACUUGGUGUUACUGCGAAGGGGGGACGGAGAAGGCUAUGUUGGCCGGGCGACGGUUGUCCCGGUUUAAGCGUGUAGGCUGGUUUUCCAGGCAAAUCCGGAAAAUCAAGGCUGAGGCGUGACGACGAGGCACUACGGUGCUGAAGCAACAAAUGCCCUGCUUCCAGGAAAAGCCUCUAAGCAUCAGGUAACAUCAAAUCGUACCCCAAACCGACACAGGUGGUCAGGUAGAGAAUACCAAGGCGCUUGA